GGACAGAUGCCCGAGCGGUUAAGGGGACGGUCUCAAGAUCCGUUGCGUAAGCGCGUGAGUUCGAAUCUCACUCUGUUCA
Molecule: transfer RNA, 79 nt
Filed under: Cryptococcus deneoformans JEC21
Lineage: Eukaryota; Fungi; Basidiomycota; Tremellomycetes; Tremellales; Cryptococcaceae
Also listed under: 20 other names
Description: tRNA-Leu (CAA) (tRNA-Leu-CAA-1 1 to 3)
Rfam family: tRNA
About the family: Transfer RNA (tRNA) molecules are approximately 80 nucleotides in length.
Source: RNAcentral